Molecule: non-coding RNA, 20 nt
Filed under: Arabidopsis thaliana (thale cress)
Lineage: Eukaryota; Viridiplantae; Streptophyta; Magnoliopsida; Brassicales; Brassicaceae
Source: RNAcentral
UUGAUUCUUGGAUUUCAACU